Molecule: ribosomal RNA, 433 nt
Filed under: uncultured bacterium
Lineage: Bacteria
Description: partial 16S ribosomal RNA
Rfam family: Bacterial small subunit ribosomal RNA
Source: RNAcentral
AACGAACGCUGGCGGCAUGCCUAACACAUGCAAGUCGAACGAGACCUUCGGGUCUAGUGGCGCCCGGGUGCGUCACGCGUGGGAACCUGCCCUUAGGUUCGGAAUAACUACCCGAAAGGGGUGCUAAUACCGGAUAAUGUCUUCGGACCAAAGAUUUAUCGCCUUUGGAUGGGCCCGCGUUGGAUUAGCUAGUUGGUAGGGUAAAAGCCUACCAAGGCGACGAUCCAUAGCUGGUCUGAGAGGAUGAUCAGCCACACUGAGACUGAGACACGGCCCAGACUCCUACGGGAGGCAGCAGUGGGGAAUAUUGGACAAUGGGCGAAAGCCUGAUCCAGCAAUGCCGCGUGAGUGAUGAAGGCCGUAGGGUUGUAAAGCGCUUUUACCCGGGAUGAUAAUGACAGUACCGGGAGAAUAAGCUCCGGCUAACUCCGUG